Molecule: ribosomal RNA, 224 nt
Filed under: uncultured bacterium
Lineage: Bacteria
Description: partial 16S ribosomal RNA
Rfam family: Bacterial small subunit ribosomal RNA
Source: RNAcentral
UUGAACGCUGGCGGCAGGCUUAACACAUGCAAGUCGAACGGUAACAGGGGGUAGCUUGCUACUUUGCUGACGAGUGGCGAACGGGUGAGUAAUACAUCGGAACAUACCCAGUUGUGGGGGACAACCGACUCGAAAGAGUGGCUAAUACCGCAUGAUAUCUAAGGAUGAAAGCAGGGGACCUUCGGGCCUUGCGCAACUGGAGUGGCUGAUGGCAGAUUAGGUAG